GACGAACGCUGGCGGCGCGCCUAACACAUGCAAGUCGAACGAGCGAGAGAGAGCUUGCUUUCUUGAGCGAGUGGCGAACGGGUGAGUAACGCGUGAGGAACCUGCCUCAAAGAGGGGGACAACAGUUGGAAACGACUGCUAAUACCGCAUAAGCCCACGGUGCCGCAUGGCACAGAGGGAAAAGGAGCAAUCCGCUUUGAGAUGGCCGCGCGUCCGAUUAGCUAGUUGGUGAGGUAACGGCCCACCAAGGCGACGAUCGGUAGCCGGACUGAGAGGUUGAACGGCCACAUUGGGACUGAGACACGGCCCAGACUCCUACGGGAGGCAGCAGUGGGGAAUAUUGCACAAUGGGGGAAACCCUGAUGCAGCGACGCCGCGUGGAGGAAGAAGGUCUUCGGAUUGUAAACUCCUGUUGUUGGGGAAGAUAAUGACGGUACCCAACAAGGAAGUGACGGCUAACUACGUG
This 466-nucleotide ribosomal RNA is filed under the name uncultured bacterium. Its description in RNAcentral is "partial 16S ribosomal RNA". It matches the Rfam family "Bacterial small subunit ribosomal RNA", at positions 28 to 507 of the family's 1533-position model. The record is from RNAcentral.